GUGAACGCUGGCGGUAGGCCUAACACAUGCCAGUCGAACGGCAGCACAGUAAGAGCUUGCUCUUACGGGUGGCGAGUGGCGGACGGGUGAGGAAUACAUCGGAAUCUACUUUUUCGUGGGGGAUAACGUAGGGAAACUUACGCUAAUACCGCAUACGACCUACGGGUGAAAGCAGGGGAUCUUCGGACCUUGCGCGAUUGAAUGAGCCGAUGUCGGAGUAGCUAGUUGGCGGGGUAAAGGCCCACCAAGGCGACGAUCCGUAGCUGGUCUGAGAGGAUGAUCAGCCACACUGGAACUGAGACACGGUCCAGACUCCUACGGGAGGCAGCAGUGGGGAAUAUUGGACAAUGGGCGCAAGCCUGAUCCAGCCAUACCGCGUGGGUGAAGAAGGCCUUCGGGUUGUAAAGCCCUUUUGUUGGGAAAGAAAAGCAGCAGGUUAAUACCCCGCUGUUCUGACGGUACCCAAAGAAUAAGCACCGGCUAACUUCGUG
Molecule: ribosomal RNA, 491 nt
Filed under: uncultured bacterium
Lineage: Bacteria
Description: partial 16S ribosomal RNA
Rfam family: Bacterial small subunit ribosomal RNA
Source: RNAcentral